CCUAAGGGAGGCAGCAGUGGGGAAUAUUGGACAAUGGGCGAAAGCCUGAUCCAGCCAUGCCGCGUGUGUGAAGAAGGCCUUCGGGUUGUAAAGCACUUUCAGUGGGGAAGAAAGCCUUGGGGCUAAUACCCUCGAGGAAGGACAUCACCCACAGAAGAAGCACCGGCUAACUCCGUGCCAGCAGCCGCGGUAAUACGGAGGGUGCGAGCGUUAAUCGGAAUUACUGGGCGUAAAGCGCGCGUAGGCGGUCUGAUAAGCCGGUUGUGAAAGCCCCGGGCUCAACCUGGGAACGGCAUCCGGAACUGUCAGGCUAGAGUGCAGGAGAGGAAGGUAGAAUUCCCGGUGUAGCGGUGAAAUGCGUAGAGAUCGGGAGGAAUACCAGUGGCGAAGGCGGCCUUCUGGACUGACACUGACGCUGAGGUGCGAAAGCGUGGGUAGCAAACAGGAUUAGAUACCCUUGUAGUC
This 465-nucleotide ribosomal RNA is filed under the name Vreelandella stevensii. RNAcentral's name for it is "partial 16S ribosomal RNA". It matches the Rfam family "Bacterial small subunit ribosomal RNA", at positions 338 to 795 of the family's 1533-position model. The record is from RNAcentral. Lineage: Bacteria; Pseudomonadati; Pseudomonadota; Gammaproteobacteria; Oceanospirillales; Halomonadaceae.